Molecule: ribosomal RNA, 253 nt
Filed under: uncultured bacterium
Lineage: Bacteria
Description: partial 16S ribosomal RNA
Rfam family: Bacterial small subunit ribosomal RNA
Source: RNAcentral
UACAGAGGUCUCAAGCGUUGUUCGGAUUCAUUGGGCGUAAAGGGUGCGUAGGCGGCGCGGUAAGUCGGGUGUGAAAUCUCGGAGCUUAACUCCGAAACUGCAUUCGAUACUGCCGUGCUUGAGGACUGGAGAGGAGACUGGAAUUUACGGUGUAGCGGUGAAAUGCGUAGAUAUCGGGAAGAACACCCGUGGCGAAGGCGGCUCUCUGGGACGGUACUGACGCUGAGACGCGAAAGCGUGGGGAGCGAACAGG